ACUCCUGCGGGAGGCAGCAGUGGGGAAUAUUGGACAAUGGGCGCAAGCCUGAUCCAGCCAUGCCGCGUGAGUGAUGAAGGCCCUAGGGUUGUAAAGCUCUUUCACCGGUGAAGAUAAUGACGGUAACCGGAGAAGAAGCCCCGGCUAACUUCGUGCCAGCAGCCGCGGUAAUACGAAGGGGGCUAGCGUUGUUCGGAUUUACUGGGCGUAAAGCGCACGUAGGCGGACUAUUGAGUCAGGGGUGAAAUCCCGGGGCUCAACCCCGGAACUGCCUUUGAUACUGGUAGUCUUGAGUUCGAGAGAGGUGAGUGGAAUUCCGAGUGUAGAGGUGAAAUUCGUAGAUAUUCGGAGGAACACCAGUGGCGAAGGCGGCUCACUGGCUCGAUACUGACGCUGAGGUGCGAAAGCGUGGGGAGCAAACAGGAUUAGAAACCCUAGUAGUCCCAUGAU
This 450-nucleotide ribosomal RNA is filed under the name uncultured organism. RNAcentral describes it as "partial 16S ribosomal RNA". It matches the Rfam family "Bacterial small subunit ribosomal RNA", at positions 335 to 801 of the family's 1533-position model. The record is from RNAcentral.